GAUUAACGCUAGCGGCAGGCCUAAUACAUGCAAGUCGAACGGUAAAUAGUGUAGCAAUACAUUAUGAGAGUGGCGCACGGGUGAGUAACGCGUAUGCAACCUACCUUUAACUGGGGGAUAGCCUUCCGAAAGGAAGAUUAAUACCGCAUAAAAUUAUGAAGUGGCAUCACUUUAUAAUCAAAACUCCGGUGGUUAAAGAUGGGCAUGCGUGAUAUUAGCUAGUUGGUGAGGUAACGGCUCACCAAGGCGACGAUGUCUAGGGGGUCUGAGAGGA
Molecule: ribosomal RNA, 274 nt
Filed under: uncultured bacterium
Lineage: Bacteria
Description: partial 16S ribosomal RNA
Rfam family: Bacterial small subunit ribosomal RNA
Source: RNAcentral